ACUACGGGUGGCAGCAGUGAGGAAUAUUGGUCAAUGGACGAGAGUCUGAACCAGCCAAGUAGCGUGAAGGAUGACUGCCCUAUGGGUUGUAAACUUCUUUUAUAAAGGAAUAAAACGAGGCACGUGUGCCUUUUUGCAUGUACUUUAUGAAUAAGGAUCGGCUAACUCCGUGCCAGCAGCCGCGGUAAUACGGAGGUUCCGAGCGUUAUCCGGAUUUAUUGGGUUUAAAGGGAGCGUAGAUGGGUUGUUAUGUCAGUUGGUAAAGUUUUCGGCUCAACCGUAAAAUUGCAAUUGAUACUGGCAGUCUUGAGUACAGUUGAGGUAAGCGGAAUUCGUGGUGUAGCGGUGAAAUGCUUAGAUAUCACGAAGAACCCCGAUUGCGAAGGCAGCUUACUAAACUGUGACUGACAUUGAUGCUCGAAAGUGUGGGUAUCAAACAGGAUUAGAUACCCUUGUAGUC
RNAcentral lists this ribosomal RNA (460 nucleotides) under uncultured bacterium. RNAcentral describes it as "partial 16S ribosomal RNA". It matches the Rfam family "Bacterial small subunit ribosomal RNA", at positions 338 to 795 of the family's 1533-position model. The record is from RNAcentral.